RNAcentral lists this ribosomal RNA (497 nucleotides) under uncultured bacterium. Its description in RNAcentral is "partial 16S ribosomal RNA". It matches the Rfam family "Bacterial small subunit ribosomal RNA", at positions 28 to 507 of the family's 1533-position model. The record is from RNAcentral.
GAUGAACGCUGGCGGCGUGCCUAAUACAUGCAAGUCGAGCGAACGGACGAGAAGCUUGCUUUUCUGAUGUUAGCGGCGGACGGGUGAGUAACACGUGGAUAACCUACCUAUAAGACUGGGAUAACUUCGGGAAACCGGAGCUAAUACCGGAUAAUAUCUUGAACCGCAUGGUUCAAAAGUGAAAGACGGUCUUGCUGUCACUUAUAGAUGGAUCCGCGCUGCAUUAGCUAGUUGGUAAGGUAACGGCUUACCAAGGCAACGAUGCAUAGCCGACCUGAGAGGGUGAUCGGCCACACUGGAACUGAGACACGGUCCAGACUCCUACGGGAGGCAGCAGUAGGGAAUCUUCCGCAAUGGGCGAAAGCCUGACGGAGCAACGCCGCGUGAGUGAUGAAGGUCUUCGGACCGUAAAACUCUGUUAUUAGGGAAGAACAUAUGUGUAAGUAACUGUGCACAUCUUGACGGUACCUAAUCAGAAAGCCACGGCUAACUACGUG